Molecule: long non-coding RNA, 9543 nt
Organism: Gallus gallus (chicken)
Lineage: Eukaryota; Metazoa; Chordata; Aves; Galliformes; Phasianidae
Exons: 2
Source: RefSeq, a predicted model, not a curated record
UUAACAUUUCACAUUUUCAGAUGGAAGCCGUGUCUGCUGUGGUAUCACCUAUGCUGGAGCAGCCUCAUGGAUCUAUUUUCCCCUUUGAUGACUCUAACUCACUCACCAGAUGGAUGAGAGGCACUGCCAGCUGCCUGGGAAGGCUGUCACUGCUGAGGUUGGCAUCCCGUGAGCUGUACAGGUUAUAAACAUGCAACCAGCAAUUAUGUUUGGAAGGCAGCAGCGUUGCACCUGAUGAUGUCAUGAAAUAUUGACAACUCUUGCUCUGUCUCCGAAAGAGAAGUGAAAAGCUCUGGGGACACCAUUGGCUGUGAUGUUCUGCUAAAUGCAUUUUUGUCAGCGUGUGUGAUAUCUGCCCCAGCCAGCUGGUGCCAGUGGUUGUGCUCACGCUGCUCAGGGCCAGAGCAUGGUGACCAUAUCCAGGACACAGAGAACUUGUCCAUGACUGUCCUUCCAACGCCAAGCAAUGCAGUGGGACUGGACAUGAUUAAUGUUUCUUCUGUGUUUUCUCAGUUCAAAGCGAAGAAACAAGAGAACCACGUUGCAUCUGAGAGCAGUUACUUUGAUAGCAUGAAGCUGAGGAUAUCCUAGGCUGCUAUGUACUAAGCCAUGUGGCUGAGGCCACGCAGAAACUGGUGCCUGGGGGUGUCUGUGGGGGACAGUGCUGGAGGAUGGAGUGGGCUGAAGGAAGCCAGUCCCAGAGCAGAUUACCCAUACCACCUCCUCAGACUGUCCAGGAUGAGCCAUUCUCUCCACUGCUCCUGGGACUGUCAGAGGAAACCAGCUGUCCCAUACCCAGAGGAAAAGCAAAUGAAUAUGGUGCUUCUCUGGGGUGGAUACACAGUGGCUGGAAGUCAUGGAAGUAGCUGAGCUGGCUCACAGGCUAGAUGAGGGGCUGACAGCACAGACAGAACACCAUCCAAUCUCACCUAUUUUGUCAUAUGUCAGUGACCUUAUCUCACUAUCAGAGGGCAAGAUCAAGAAAGCUUCCUGGAAAUAGCACUGUGACCCCAGUUCUCACUGACUUAGGGAUGUGAGAGAAACCUGAAUUUGGUUGAGGUCCAGAGGAAUUUUACACUGCUCUGAGUGCAGCAUAUCCACAUGGGACACUGCCGGAAGGAGAGGUCUUGCUCCUCCCCAUCCCUGGCUGGCCUUCCUGCUGCGCUUCCGUCAUCCCAUAGCUACUGAGCGGCCAGCCACUGGGCUGGAGCCAUCUGCCUGAAAGAGACUCCAACAAUUAAAUACUGCCAGGCUGUACCCCAUUUCAGAGCAACCCCUAAUCCUCAGUCACAGGAGGAAAUGAGCCAGCAGGAUUGUCCUGGGACCCAGCUGCAUGCCCCAUCCUGCUCUCUCCCACAUCACUCCUGGAAUUUCCCCUCCUCUCAGCUCAGUGCAGUGCGGUAUGUGGUAGGUGUCUCAUAGCUGUUGGGCAUGGGGAAGCAUCGGAAUGCGGCAGGGGGGACUGGGGAGGUUGGCCACCCCAAGGACAAGUGGGAGCACUUGGGUGACUCAGCUACAACUGCAAUCUCUGUCCGCAGAAAUGAAAGUGACUCGGCUGCACCCCACCCCUGUCAGAAGGCACUGAGCAUGCUUUAACUUGCAGAAAUGGAGCUCACAUCUUUACCAUUCUUCUUAACUUCCCUGGGUCAGGCCAGCCCUAGCUAGAGAAACCUUCAGUAAUUUCCUCGUGGAAGACAAGAAGCCUGGUUAGUGCUGUGCAAAUGAGGGCAAGAGGCACCUCAUCUAAGUGCACAACAGCCUCCAGUUUACAAGGUAUGCCUUGAGCUACUCGCUGAGAGGGGAAUUUUCACUGUGUGCCUUUUGACAAAGAAACCUGAACAAAUGGGGACUACCAAAUUCGAGUGAAAAGGCACUGAGUAGCAGUCACCUGCCAGCACAGACACUUCCAGAUGCAAAUAAAUAGAUACUCACGAAUAACCUUAUGUCUAAGAAAUGCAGCUUAAGGGUCACAGCCUUAGUAGGAAUGGACAGACAGACUUCAGUUUUGCUCUUCCUAGUAAAUUGGGAAUAGAUGUUCAUGGGGAUUCACCAUGUAAUAAGCUUGUUAGUAAGAACAAUGUCCUACCUGGACUGUAACAUGAAAAAAAAAGGCAAAAUAAAAAGUAGUCUAGAAACUUAGAUUUUAGGCUUGGGCCAGAGACGUUCAGCCAUGGACCAACAUCUCUGGCUCCAGCUGGGCCUGGGUACUUGUACUUUGUGCAUACUUUUGCAUUUUCUUUCUGCUGGAAAAACGAUACCUUUCUGCCAGCUGAUGGAAAGCACCCCAGGAAAACACCAAGUGCAGCUUCCCCUUUGGCUAUCAACACAGUGCCAGGGUAGAGACGUCAGACUGAUUCCUGUACAGACAGUUGUCCAGCCGCAAUCUUGCCUUCCACUUUUCAUGUAGUGUUGACUGUUCUGGUCACAGUUACCCCAGCCAAGAUACUUUACUGUGCUCUUUAAUCCCUCUUUAUGACUUGCUAACAUUUGGAAACCUCUCUGUUGCUGCCCAGCUUCCCAUGAAGGCAGAAAAAAAUGAGUUCACUGCCUAAACUUCCUCUCUCUGCCUCAGCCAGGAAGUGUCCUCAGUCUUCUCAGCCUGCAGAAGGAAAGAGCUAAGGGAAUCUAGCUACAGGGCAACACGAGUCACAGGUGUUGAGGUUGAGGACAUGAGCCAACAGCAGUAGAGUGCUGAGAUGCAGUGCGAGGGAUUAAGGGAACACAAAGUAUCAGUGAGGGUGGAAAUAGGUGUGGGGAAAUGGGCCUCCACCCGGCAUUGCAAAAACCUGGCAUGAACCAAGGCAGCAACCUCUGAAGGCUGUAAUGAAGAAGAGGGCAACAGUGCUGUGAUGAAACAAACACACAAAGCUUGUGGAGACACAAAAUGUCUUUCAAACACUAUGGGGGCUGUGCCUAGGGCUAAUGCAAGCGAGGAGGGAGCCAUUUGCAAUGCAAUCCUGUCUGAUUUCUUUUUAAAUGUGUGGGCUUUUCUCCUUGCUUUCUUGCAAAAUGUCUCAUCCUAAUGUGCAAAAAUACUCCUUUUGUCCUUGUUAUCUUUUCAUUCUUCUCUGGAAGAUGCUUUUAGGUCUUUUCUCUAUGAUGCUGAAGAAGUUCACUUGGCUGCUUCCAGGAAACUGUGGCUUUUUGUGAUAAGCUCUAUGGGGACCAUCCCUGUGAGCUGCUGUGUAUCAACAGCAGGCAAUGCCUGCCUCCUGUAGGUCUUCAUCACCUCCAAGAGUGAUGCAAGGGUACUUGAAAUUACUUCUGUAUCUCCUUGUUGAGACCACAUCUAUCAGCUUCCUCUACUUAAAAUGAUGGGCUUGCAAUGAGCCCUUGUACUAGCCAUUUUGGUAGCUGUACAGCUGCCCCAAAGCAAGCCGCUCUGCAAGUAUCUUUUAUAGUGAGCUCCUACCACAUCUCUUUUGUUAUCCACUCAAAUAGGAACAACUCUCUGUGUUUCUUCACAGUAAUACUAAUGUUCAGGGGUAGGUCAGCUUUCAGAAUCUUGCAACAGUUACUCAGAUCAAGGUUCAAAAGAAAGAGGAAUUGUAUCCUUGGAGCCUCCUGCCUCCACAGAAACCUCAAUGUACUUCUCAUUGAGAGAAAAGAAUUCAUGCUCUCUGAGUCAGUAUACUUUGAUUCUUUGUCCUAACUGCAGGAAAAUGAGUACCUCUCAAGAUGUAAAACAAAUCCACACACUUUUGGGAAUAGAUAUCAUGGAAUCAUAGAAUGGCCUGGGUUGAAAAGGACCACAGUGAUCAUCGAGUUUCAACCUCCCUGCUAUGUGCAGGGUUGUCAGCCACUAGACCAGGCUGCCCAGAGCCACAUCCAGCCUGGCUUUGAAUGCCUCCAAGGUUGGGGCAUCCAAAGCCUCCUUGGGGAACCUGUUCCAGUGCGACACCACCCUCUGUGUGAAAAAAAUCCUCCUAAUAUCUAACCUAAACCUCCCCUGUAAUUGGAUUUAGUGCUUCAUGCUGAAGCUCAGCAGGCAGGGUGUCCAGCCCUGCCUGCUGUCUCUCUGCCAGGACUUCACCUGUGCCUCAGAUAGUGGCCCUGGUGCCCAGCACUCUGCAAUAACAGGAAAGGUUGGGUUUCAUCUGAGGUUCAGCCCAGCCAUGAGGAAUUACUCCUGGCCUUUCAGAAGCAUGUAUAGCCAUCAUCUCUCACCUUUUUAAAUAGAAGUGAGUCUCUGCUGUUUCCCACGCCUCCAGCGAGCCUUUUUGUGAGAGGUGCUGUGUUAAUCUGCAGCCAUUGCUGCUAUUCCGAGCCCACCAGUGUUUUUCACCUGCUGCGGAAGGAUAAUGCAGAUGGUCUAAAAUAGAUGUGCAAAUUCUGCUGAUCCAAGCAGGAUUCAUAGUGAUGAUGGAGAGUGGAAAUAUAAAGACCAUUAUUAUUUUUUUUAAUGGUGCCAAAAGUAUGGGAGGCAAAUGUAGGAUGACAAAAAAGGAGACGUCAGGCCCACACAUGAACCCAUGUGAUAUUCUGAUGCUGUACAGAGAUCCUAUAUUUCCCUGAAAGAAUACGCUCUGAAGCAUUGCCCCACAGAGUGCCAGAGAGGGCUGUGUGUUUCCAGACCUGAAUUCAAAGCUCUGCUGAGUGUGCCCAGCACUGCCUGAGUAUUCAGAUGGGCUUAUAGGCCAGCAGCAGAGCAAUUUGGCAUGCUAUGUACCUGACUUGGUGCAAUGUACCAAGGACCAGAAACAUGGGUAUGAAUCCACAGGCAGCUAAAUCUGUAGGACCAACUUACAUGUAAAAUCUUUCCAGCAAUACUGCCAUUUAGAAAUAAGAUUAUUUUUGCUAACAUAGUUACACCACUUAAAGCAUUUGUAUAGAUUUUGUUACGCUGGUAUAAAUUCCUUUUUACUUAGAUUUGCUUCCUAUAAUGAAAUAAGAUGUUGGUACUCUGCAAUAUUACAAGAUACAGUUCCCAUUGAGCAACCUUUGAUCAUCUUAGUCUACUAGAAGAAAUGUUAGCAAAUGUUAGCAAAAUCUGUGUCUCUGUUUGAUGAAGUUGCUGAGAUCCUCCAUCUGACACAUUCUUGAUAAAACUGCGGUGCAAAAGAAUUUGUUUAAGUAUUCAUCUAUUUUGAUACACUGUAAUCCAUAUUUAGCUUUGAUGGGGAAACAUGGGGACUGCAUUCUAAUGGUGAGGUCCUCUACAUCACAUGCCUGAAUGUCACCCAUGGUGUCUGAGAUUGUGAGGGGUGGGAAGACAGGGAGACAAACACUGUCGAAGGCUGGAGGAAAGGGCUGCAUGCUGGUUGCAUGCAGACAGGUGGGCAGGUAAGGCACCUGCGAAGGAAUGUUUGGCUGUGGGACUUAGCUAUAAGGGAAGCAGUCAGAAACCCAUCAGGGUUUGGAGACUCCAAACUGAACGAAAUGUAAAUCCAUUUGCCAGUGAGCUGAAAGGGCAAGAAAGUUGGAGGUGUUAACUGAAAAAGCAAAAGAAAUUAAGGCCAUUGUUCUAUGAGGGGGAGGCACACUCAUAAUGUGAAGGAAAGAGCCAGAGGAAAGUGAGCUACAAUGGAUGGUUUGAGCCAGUCUUAUAGCCUGUGGCCACUGAAAGAGGAAGGUCCCACUUCUCCACCCACUCUCUCCCUUCCUACUUAGCCAGAUGCUGCCCCUGCCCCCACUCCUCUGGUUUUCAAUUCACUAUUGUAAAUUCAACCUGAUAAAACCCCACAGGAAGAAGGCAAGCUAAAAUCAUAGAAUCACAGAAUCAUUUGAGUUGGAAGGAAAGUUUUAAGGUCAUCUAGUCUGACACCCCAUAAUGAAUGGAGAUAAAAGGAGCUAGAUCACACUGCUCAGAGACCUCUGCAGCCUGACCUUGAGUGUCUCCAGCAUCGGGGCAUUCACACCUCUUUGGGCAGCCUGUUCCAGUGCCUCACCACCCUUAUCAUUAAAACCUUUUUUCUUAUGCCUAGACAAAAUCUCCCCUCUUUUAGUUUGAAACCAUUUCCCCUUGUCCUAUCACAGCAGACCCUGCUAAAGAGUCUCCUCCUUCUUAUCUUAUCCCCCUUAGAUACUGAAAGCUCUCAGGUCUUCCCGAAACCUUCUCUUCUCCAGGCUGAACAGCCCCAGCUGUCUGCCUGUCCUCACAGGGGAGGUGUUCCAUCCCUUGAAAAAAGCUUUGAAAUAGUUUCUGUAAAAUUAGUAAGUUGAACUGGUCCACAGAGAAAUCCAGAGAGACAUCAGCUCCUGACACUCAACAGGGGAGAAGAACUUGCUGGAGGGGUCAGGGUGAGAUGAAGCUCCCCCUGCCCACAGCCCUGAGGUGUUAAGUUGUCUCCAAUGCCUUAAGUAACAGCCUGAGAAGCUGCAAAGUAAUGAUGGCAUGUUUGUAUUGAGGAGACAGAGAGGUAGACUGGGAUCAGUAGUAAGAAGGGAAAAAAGGCAGUUGAAAACUGCUCUUAUGAGCAAUUUGUUUAAUGCUGAAUGCAUGCAGGUGGAGGGACAGAAGCAAGAAAAAAUGUGAGUUAGAAAUGCAGAAAUGCUUAUACAAGAAUAAUGGAAUCCAACGAAAGAUAAAGUGGAAAGGACAGACAGAUGCAGAUUUACUUGGUUAUGUAAAAGGCUGUAGCAUUCUCAUUAGUAAUCUUGGCCUUUGGCACAUGAGAAGUAACAGUGGUCACUGCACAUGGUCCUAAUGCCUGGAUUUUCAUCCCUACCUGUUCCACCCAUCUCCCUGCCUACUUCAGAGGUUGAUCUACUUGCAUUCAGAUAGGCAUACGUCCUCCCUGUACUGCCCAGGUCUUGCAGAAGGAACCAAGGACCUUGGGGAUAUGGGUGUCCCUUCUCUCAGCUUAAAUCUGGUGCUAGUCUGCAUUGGUCUUGAGUCCUGGAGCUGAGCAUGCUCAGUACAGACAGUCCCUGGGGAACUGAGAUGUGAAAAUCCUGUGAAUUUCUUCCUGAAGGCAUGUGAUCUGAAAUUUCUCCAAAGGCUUCUGUAACUUGACCAAAUUUGGGCAGAUUGUUCCAAAAACAGCAAAACUCCAUUCUCUGACUGAAAGCCAUCUCCCUGGUAGAUGUGAAGCCCUGCUGCAGCAUGUUGGGGCACUGCAGCUUUUCCAAAAUAAGUCGUCUGCCAAAACUGUAGGCUAAACAGCGUUCAUUCCUCAAACUCAUCCUUGGAAAUGGUUUCUGCUGUAGUUUCCUCUUUGCUCCUAACUCACGGCAAAGCUAUCAUUUAGGCAUGAAAAGAUCAGACCUGGAAGCUGGAAGUUUUGUGUCAGGUAGCACUCAUCCUCUGCAGAUGUCUUUCCAUACCAGCAGAUGAUGCCAGGAGACCAAUAUUUUCAGCAUAAUUGAAAGGGAGAAGUUCUUUUCUUCCCUUCUUCAUUAAUGGGAAAUGCCACAUGCAGCCACUCUGGAGGAAUGUGGGGCAGGAAGGGCUGUUUGUGUUACCCACUAAGAAAUUACAUGGUGGUGGUGACAGCCUGGUCUAGGGGACCAGGAGCCUGCUCAGAGGGGGAGAAAAUGGGACCUCAGGCUCAACAUCACCUCUCCCCCGAUGGCAAAGAGCAUAGAGACUCCCACCUUUGGGGUGGUGCAUCAGCCAGGUGUCUGAAAGAAGAUGCUAUCAGUAACCUUCCAUCUUGUCUGCUGCAGGGGUGGGAGCAUGGUUGCUGAGCAGGGUGUGUGUGGUUGAGGAUGAAAUAAACAUAAAAUAAACACCCUUAUUUACAUGUUGAGGAUGCCAAGGUGCCUGAGGCUUGAGGAAUUGGCACUGCUUGGGUGAGGAAUGAGAGCCCAGUCCUGGUUCCAUUACAGGGCAGCCCAGCUGCUGGCCUCUCACUUCACAGUGUGCAUGCCUUUCUCUUCAGCUCCUGUCCCUGUACGUGCCUGCUCUGUCCCACGGAGUGGUGAGGGGAGGGCCCCAAGGCCUGGCCACCUCACAUGGCCUGGUGUCCAUGGGUAGGUCUACGGGCAGCAGGAAGGGGCUUUAGGGCAGAGAGGUCCCAAAGCUGGGGCCAUUUGUACCCCUUUUCAUAUCUUCAUUUUGCUCUGAAAUAUUCUGAGAAGCACCUCAAUUUGGCACCAAUCUGUGCAGAACCCAGCUAAGGGGUUUGCAGCUGGCACUAUAGCAAGACUGUGAAAACAUGGCUUUUUUCCCCUACAAAAGAGCUGCUGGGGAUGCUUGCAUAUGAGAAUGAUUGUAUACCUUUCACUGGGCUGCCCAGGCCUCCAGAGACCCUGUGUGGCAGCACAGAGCAUCGCAGGCUGUGCCUUGAUUUGUUAUUUAUUCUACAAUUCAGAGCCCAGAACAAAAAACUGUUGCCCUAAGAGCAUUCCUCCUGUCCUGCCCUGGCCUGCCAGCCCAGCCAGCUCAGCUGAACAUGGGUUGAUGUUUCUGGGCCUCAGACAUCACCUCCAGUUCUGGGCAUCUGAAGGAAGCUGCACAGCAAUAGUCGCAGUCCCUCUGCACAUGGAAGGGAAUUAAAUUAGCAAAAAGCAGGGGGAUGAGGGAUACAUGAAAGCCUAAACAUUUGUUCAUCAAGGCCUCCUAUUUCCUUGCAUAGGUCAGAGGUGCAAAGGCUAUUCACUGCUGUUCCCCAGCAGAGUAACAACCAAAACACGGUCCUACUCAUCUUCACUGUUAACUUUCCACAUGGUUUUUCUCUGCUAUACAAAGAAGAGCUGAAGGAGGUGAGAAAGAGAGCUGGAAGGGAAAGAGGGUUGGAAAGCAGAUGUGGGGACAAGAGGAGCUCUGGGGAGCACCUGGGAAUUUGUUUUUGGGGAGGAGGGAGGGAGUCCCAUGUCCUCCCCCGUGUGGGCAAUGGGAGAAGCGCCCAGGAUGAGGCCACCACAGUCUUGUCCCAGGGCCCUGAAAGGCAGAACUGUCUGUUUUGCUGAGGCCGUGCUCUUUUGUUACCGAGGCAGCUUUCCUUUGUGCAAGGCACUCGGUGUUGCAGGGUCACCAGUGGCCAUCAUGCCCUCGUGGCUCCUACUGCAGGCACCUCUGUCUUUGGGAAAUCUCUCAGCCACACAGAUUGGCAGGGAAAAAUGAGUUCCCAGCUGCUGGGGCAGCUCGGAAACACCACAGGAUUUUGAUCUGGGACACAGCAAAGGCUAAGUUCACCUGGCUUUGCCUUCCCAAGCAGCCAAUCUGUCAGAAUGAACUGGAAAGCCCAUGUGCAUGGUUCUCCCCUUCGGCCUGCACACACAGGCCUGCUGCCGUGUGAAGCGGGAUAGGGGGAGGUGGAAACGCAGCGGUGAUUUCCCCUGGUUCUGUUUGUGAUUCCAGCUGUGCUUACUUCCCUUUCUGACGGUCGGAGGGAACUGUGACUUAUUUGUUCUGUCAAGAACACGUUGUUCCUCUUCCUACUUCACCUGUCAUUGGAUUGCUACGGGGUAGUGCUUUAAACAUUGGUGGAACAAAGGGGACACCUUAAUUUAAGUGUAAAAGAAUGCUUUCUUUCUACCUAACAAGUGAUAGCUAGCUAGUAGAAUCAUUUAUUUGCACCUCCCAGCCGUGUGAAUCAUGAUUAUUCAUGUGAGAAAGAGACUUUGAUCUCUCUGCAUGUACUUACCAGUUAUUUAACU